AGGAUUGAUCACCCUUUAAACUUAGAUCUUAGGAUUAAUUGAGAACAUGCCAUUGCUUGACUCAAUACCUGAAAAUAAACUAGCAUGAUCUAACUGACUAGAUACACAAGAGAGUUGGUCUAGUAAGUUAGAGAAUACUAAUCAAACCCGUCCGUAAAACUUUCUGGAAGAAGCAUCGACACAACAACAGUUCUGUCGAUCGAUAUUUUGAAAGGUGUAUCGAUCGAUAUUCUUUACGAAUCAUCGAUCGACACUUUCUCGUGAUUAACAUACGAGAGUUUAAAUCCGAGAUCCAAAUUAGAUAAUCUAAUUGAUUAUACCUAAGUUUGAGUUCGAAAACAAUUAAUAUCAAUAAACCCC
Molecule: long non-coding RNA, 360 nt
Filed under: Brassica napus (rape)
Lineage: Eukaryota; Viridiplantae; Streptophyta; Magnoliopsida; Brassicales; Brassicaceae
Description: long non-coding RNA (BNAP_LNC013993)
Source: RNAcentral